This 239-nucleotide unclassified non-coding RNA is filed under the name Hevea brasiliensis (rubber tree). Lineage: Eukaryota; Viridiplantae; Streptophyta; Magnoliopsida; Malpighiales; Euphorbiaceae. The record is from RNAcentral.
UCAAUAUAUACCUCCUCUCAACUACAUCGUCUUCUUCUCCGCCGAGCGCUGCGCUGCAAGAAUGGGAGCUUAUAAGUACGUGUCUGAGCUAUGGAGAAAGAAGCAAUCCGAUGUGAUGAGGUUUCUGCAAAGAGUAAGAUGCUGGGAAUAUCGCCAACACCCUUCAAUCGUUCGUGUUACGCAUCCCACUCGUCCAGAUAAGGCACGUCGAUUGGGCUAUAAGGCCAAACAGGGUUUUG